Molecule: long non-coding RNA, 331 nt
Filed under: Anas platyrhynchos platyrhynchos (common mallard)
Lineage: Eukaryota; Metazoa; Chordata; Aves; Anseriformes; Anatidae
Description: lncRNA (ENSAPLG00000029200.1)
Source: RNAcentral
GCAAUUCCACCUUUCUGUUCAGCUGAAAGAAUUUGGCAAACUAAUUAUAUGGCAACACUGGAAUGCACCCACCUCUUCAACAGAAAUGAGAGAGUAAAAGGUACCAAGUGGGCUGAGCAGAUACCUGAAGAAGGUAGAGGCCAAGAAAUGCAUAACUUCAUCCAGUCCUAAGAAUCAUACUGUUAGUUCUUUGAACUAUGUUAAUUAUUGUAAAAGAAAAACUCCAUUCUUUCAUAGUCACCAGCAGCUUUCUGAAUCCGUUGACGUGUAAGUAUCAUAAUUAAUAGCAUAUCAUCAGAUUAAGCUACGCAACACUAAACUGAACUCUCCU